AGGAUACCGCCUCCUCUACCCCCGGCCCCCAAAGCCCUUUUGUUUCCAAGAUGGCCUCCGAGUUCUGUUUUAAUACGCACGGAACAAAGCCAAUUGAACACCCUUAAGCUUAGCGGAAAGCGAGAAUUGUAGGGAAACUAAGGCACCAGAAGGUCGAGUAGUUGCCGGAAGCAUCGCAGCUAGUAAAUGAGGGAAACGGAGUCCAGCCCAGGCAGUCUAAGGAGAGCCUGCGCCAGGCUGCCGCUGUGCCACAUGCUGCCUCCGAAAACACAGCAGGGAGUCCAUGAUGUCUUCUAAUUGCAGCACUUUUGGGGGACGAGCGUUAUUUUGAAAGAAAUUCAAGACUUUUUAAUGUUUAUGAAGUCAAGCUGGUGUGGUAGCCAGCCUUCAAGAUGGCCCCAGUGAUACUCCCCCAGUCUGGUAUUCCAGGUCUCCUCUGGUCCCCGUCAUACAGAACACGGCUGAUCUGUGUAAUCAUGAUGUGUGGCAUCUGAGGCUAGAUCAUAACAGACAUUACAAGUGCUACCUUCUACCUCUGCUCUCUCUUGAAUGACUCACUCUGAGGGAAGCUAGCUACCCUAUUGUGAAGACACUCAGACAGCCCUAUGUGAGAUCCAUCUGGCAAGGAACUGAGGCCUCCUGCAAACAGCUUUGUGAGUAAACCAUCUUAUAAGAGGAUCCACCAGCUCCAGUCAAGCCUUCAGCUGACAUCAUGACUACAACCUCAUGGGAGACCCGGAGACAGAAUCACAAAGCUAGGCUGCUCUGAUUACUGACCUACAGAAACCGUGUGAGAUAAUACGUGUACAUUAUUGUUUCAGCCACAAAGUUUUGUGGUGAUUUUUUAACAUACUAUAGAUAACAGUGGGGUUUCUAUCUUUUGUAAUAGAAAAACUGAUGAUUAAUA
Molecule: long non-coding RNA, 907 nt
Organism: Neofelis nebulosa (Clouded leopard)
Lineage: Eukaryota; Metazoa; Chordata; Mammalia; Carnivora; Felidae
Exons: 3
Source: RefSeq, a predicted model, not a curated record